CAGGGAAGAGACUGUCCCAUCUCCUAACACUGUCCUUGUUCAGGAAGAAAACCCUUAUGUUCCUCCAUAAAAUUCCUGCAUGGUGAAAGGGAAAAUUUUCUCAAGAUCCCAGUCUCUGCUGGCUUCUGGAUUGUCAGAUGGAAUAUGAUGCAUGAUGUCCUAAAUGGGUUGAUUCCUGGUUACCUGAAGGAGAGAGACUGAUACUGCUGCUUGCAAGACUGUUGGAGGUAUCUGGGCUAAUAGACUCUUCAGUCACAAGAUGGUUGCCACAGAAGGAUCCAGGACUUUUCUUGAAAAUUAGUUUCCCCCAUCAGGACACAAGGACACAACAUAAAUAAUGACAGAAGAAAGUGAGGCUGAGAAGUUACUUGUCCUUAUGGCCCAGACAACUAUCAGCAGAGCCAGACCCAGAGUCCAGCUCCUAGACCUAGAUCUUAGCUUGUUGGACUGCGGGGCCACUGGAUGCCAACAGAUACCAUGCGGUCAUCUGGCAGGUUGAAUAAGGAAGGCUUUCCUGUCCCCUUCAAAGGAAACAAGUUUAAAACCAUGGGGGCAGGGGAUGGCACCAUGCUCAGCACAGCCCAGAUUCAGCAGGAAUGAGAUGCAGCCAGCAUCAGCAAGACAAAGGCAGAGAUAAUGAAAACGGGAACUAACCCAAAGAAUUAAGGGAGUCACACAGCAUCUGAUGAGAGCUGAAAGAAAAGCCCGGCUGGUGUUUCUGAGCUCUGUGUGGUCGCCUCCACUGCAAGUGACCCGCCCCAUCGCAGGAUGCCAGGAGGUGAGGAUGUGACAAGCAGGUCCCACCUCAGUAGGUCCCAUCACAGUCACAGCAUGAGGUGCUCCUGGCCAGCUACAGGAAGAGAAGCGAUAUUAAUGGAGUUUUGUCUUCCCCCUCUGGCACGGUUUUGCUGAGAGAUGGGAAAUGGAGGGAAGGAGUUAAUCUCUGUGCAGUCAGACCGUGCCUCCUCCCUGCUAUUUUCUCUCCCAC
RNAcentral lists this long non-coding RNA (988 nucleotides) under Calidris pugnax (ruff). Its description in RNAcentral is "lncRNA (ENSCPUG00000000416.1)". The record is from RNAcentral. Lineage: Eukaryota; Metazoa; Chordata; Aves; Charadriiformes; Scolopacidae.